UACGUAGGGUGCAAGCGUUAAUCGGAAUUACUGGGCGUAAAGCGUGCGCAGGCGGUUAUGCAAGACAGAUGUGAAAUCCCCGGGCUCAACCUGGGAAUGGCAUUGGAAACUGGCGGACUAGAGUGUGGCAGAGGGGGGUGGAAUUCCGCGUGUAGCAGUGAAAUGCGUAGAGAUGCGGAGGAACACCGAUGGCGAAGGCAGCCCCCUGGGCUAACACUGACGCUCAGGCACGAAAGCGUGGGGAGCAAACAGG
Molecule: ribosomal RNA, 253 nt
Filed under: uncultured bacterium
Lineage: Bacteria
Description: partial 16S ribosomal RNA
Rfam family: Bacterial small subunit ribosomal RNA
Source: RNAcentral